This 77-nucleotide transfer RNA is filed under the name Arcobacter sp. RNAcentral's name for it is "tRNA-His". It matches the Rfam family "tRNA". Rfam says of the family: Transfer RNA (tRNA) molecules are approximately 80 nucleotides in length. Lineage: Bacteria; Pseudomonadati; Campylobacterota; Epsilonproteobacteria; Campylobacterales; Arcobacteraceae. RNAcentral also lists the same sequence under 3 other names. The record is from RNAcentral.
GUAGGUAUAGCUCAGUUGGUUAGAGCGUCUGGUUGUGGUUCAGAAGGUCGUGGGUUCGAUUCCCAUUACUUACCCCA